AUACAAGGCAAGCACUCUUGCCACUAGGCCAUAUUCCCAGCCCAUCAGGCUUAUAGUCUUUUAAUUCUUACUGGAACUUUCCUUCCCUAGUCCCUGGAUGAGAUUAUUGCUCAAGUGGUAGGGCACUUGCCAAGCAAGCACAUGGCUGUUGAGUUCAACUUCUGGUACCACCA
Long non-coding RNA from Perognathus longimembris pacificus (Pacific pocket mouse), 173 nucleotides. RefSeq lists it as uncharacterized. The transcript is spliced from 2 exons. NCBI's taxonomy places the organism in Eukaryota, Metazoa, Chordata, Mammalia, Rodentia, Heteromyidae. The record is from RefSeq and is a predicted model, not a curated record.